Molecule: long non-coding RNA, 306 nt
Organism: Mastomys coucha (southern multimammate mouse)
Lineage: Eukaryota; Metazoa; Chordata; Mammalia; Rodentia; Muridae
Exons: 3
Source: RefSeq, a predicted model, not a curated record
CUGGAGGACUGUGUCAUUUCCUUCAACCUACAAAAUGACAAGGAGAAAUGGGCCUGUGAGCCAGGCUUUGGCUGGACCCAGGAGAUUUCUACAUCACCCUUUCUUCUGGUGCUGCUGCACAUGGAUAAAGAGCCCACCAAGUUCCUGUUGGAAACAAAUAAUGGAUUUGUGAGGAGUAAGAAUAAAGAUGGUGUUGAAGAUGGAGAGUGAGAAAGGCAACCGCAGACUCCCAGAAAUGAAGUUCUGAAAUGAAGGACUUCCUGCAACACACGGACCAACCAUCCAUCCAAUGAAACAACCAAACAA